RNAcentral lists this ribosomal RNA (1004 nucleotides) under uncultured Eubacterium sp. Its description in RNAcentral is "bacterial SSU rRNA". It matches the Rfam family "Bacterial small subunit ribosomal RNA". Lineage: Bacteria; Bacillati; Bacillota; Clostridia; Eubacteriales; Eubacteriaceae. The record is from RNAcentral.
GCCUAACACAUGCAAGUCGAGGGGUAGCAGGAUGUAGUAAUACAUUGCUGACGACCGGCGCACGGGUGAGUAACACGUAUGCAACCUACCUUCUACAGGGGAAUAGCCCGGAGAAAUUCGGAUUAAUACCCCAUAACGCAGGGAUACCGCAUGGUAAUAUUUGCUAAAGAUUAAUCGGUAGAAGAUGGGCAUGUGUUCCAUUAGCCAGUUGGUGAGGUAACGGCUCACCAAAGCUACGAUGGAUAGGGGAACUGAGAGGUUUAUCCCCCACACUGGAACUGAGACACGGUCCAGACUCCUGCGGGAGGCAGCAGUGAGGAAUAUUGGUCAAUGGACGAGAGUCUGAACCAGCCAAGUCGCGUGAAGGAUGACGGCCCUACGGGUUGUAAACUUCUUUUGUAUGGGAGUAAAAAGAUGGACGUGUCCAUUAUUGCAAGUACCAUACGAAUAAGCAUCGGCUAACUCCGUGCCAGCAGCCGCGGUAAUACGGAGGAUGCGAGCGACCUACUCUUGACAUCCAGAGAAUUAGCCAGAGAUGGCUGAGUGCCUUCGGGAGCUCUGAGACAGGUGCUGCAUGGCUGUCGUCAGCUCGUGUUGUGAAAUGUUGGGUUAAGUCCCGCAACGAGCGCAACCCUUAUCCUUUGUUGCCAGCGAUUCGGUCGGGAACUCAAAGGAGACUGCCGGUGAUAAACCGGAGGAAGGUGGGGAUGACGUCAAGUCAUCAUGGCCCUUACGAGUAGGGCUACACACGUGCUACAAUGGCGUAUACAAAGAGAAGCGAGCCUGCGAGGGGAAGCGGACCUCAUAAAGUACGUCGUAGUCCGGAUUGGAGUCUGCAACUCGACUCCAUGAAGUCGGAAUCGCUAGUAAUCGUAGAUCAGAAUGCUACGGUGAAUACGUUCCCGGGCCUUGUACACACCGCCCGUCACANCCAUGGGAGUGGGUUGCAAAAGAAGUAGGUAGCUUAACCUUCGGGAGGGCGCUUACCACUUUGUGGUUCAUGA